This 484-nucleotide ribosomal RNA is filed under the name uncultured bacterium. Its description in RNAcentral is "partial 16S ribosomal RNA". It matches the Rfam family "Bacterial small subunit ribosomal RNA", at positions 30 to 507 of the family's 1533-position model. The record is from RNAcentral.
AUUGAACGCUGGCGGCAGGCCUAACACAUGCAAGUCGAGCGGAUGAAGGGAGCUUGCUCCUGGAUUCAGCGGCGGACGGGUGAGUAAUGCCUAGGAAUCUGCCUGGUAGUGGGGGAUAACGUCCGGAAACGGGCGCUAAUACCGCAUACGUCCUGAGGGAGAAAGUGGGGGAUCUUCGGACCUCACGCUAUCAGAUGAGCCUAGGUCGGAUUAGCUAGUUGGUGGGGUAAAGGCCUACCAAGGCGACGAUCUGUAACUGGUCUGAGAGGAUGAUCAGUCACACUGGAACUGAGACACGGUCCAGACCCCCACGGGAGGCAGCAGUGGGGAAUAUUGGACAAUGGGCGAAAGCCUGAUCCAGCCAUGCCGCGUGUGUGAAGAAGGUCUUCGGAUUGUAAAGCACUUUAAGUUGGGAGGAAGGGCAGUAAGUUAAUACCUUGCUGUUUUGACGUUACCAACAGAAUAAGCACCGGCUAACUUCGUG